RNAcentral lists this ribosomal RNA (32 nucleotides) under Elatostema albopilosum. RNAcentral's name for it is "partial 28S ribosomal RNA". The record is from RNAcentral. Lineage: Eukaryota; Viridiplantae; Streptophyta; Magnoliopsida; Rosales; Urticaceae.
CCUCACGGAGUCGAUGCUUCUGAUGCGACCCC